Molecule: ribosomal RNA, 505 nt
Filed under: uncultured bacterium
Lineage: Bacteria
Description: bacterial SSU rRNA
Rfam family: Bacterial small subunit ribosomal RNA
Source: RNAcentral
GAUGAACGCUGGCGGCGUGCCUAAUACAUGCAAGUCGAGCGAACAGAUAAGGAGCUUGCUCCUUUGACGUUAGCGGCGGACGGGUGAGUAACACGUGGGUAACCUACCUAUAAGACUGGAAUAACUCCGGGAAACCGGGGCUAAUGCCGGAUAAUAUUUAGAACCGCAUGGUUCUAAAGUGAAAGAUGGUUUUGCUAUCACUUAUAGAUGGACCCGCGCCGUAUUAGCUAGUUGGUGGGGUAAUGGCUUACCAAGGCAACGAUACGUAGCCGACCUGAGAGGGUGAUCGGCCACACUGGAACUGAGACACGGUCCAGACUCCUACGGGAGGCAGCAGUAGGGAAUCUUCCGCAAUGGGCGAAAGCCUGACGGAGCAACGCCGCGUGAGUGAUGAAGGUCUUCGGAUCGUAAAACUCUGUUAUUAGGGAAGAACAAAUGUGUAAGUAACUGUGCACGUCUUGACGGUACCUAAUCAGAAAGCCACGGCUAACUACGUGCCAGCAGC